AUCAGCUAGAAAUAUUUAUGAUAAUGAAUAAUUAGCAAUCAUUCGUCUUCCUUUCCAGAGAAAGAACUGACUUCAAGCAUGCAUGGAAACAUUGUCUAGGCUAUAAAAGAAUUCAUUUUUAACUUACAAAGGAAUAUUACCAAUGACAUGGCUUGUCAAGAAGAACAAAAAUACUAUUAAUUAAUGAUACAUAUACUAAAAAAGUUGCUGCAAAAUUUCCAGAAAACAAACACUUUCCGUAUGUUAACGAGCUCUUGACUUCAUAUUUUCCAGUUUAGAGCGCCGUUCUUCAUAAGAUGGCUCAGUUGGCCUCGACAUGAGAGGAACAUGUGAGGCUCUCUUUUUGUCUGUUCCAUUCCAUCCAUUCCAUGAGCUUUCGUCUGGAAAGUCAUAACAGAACAAGUAACUAUAAUCAUCCAAAGCAAGUUAAUAAGAUGGUACAGUUUCAAAAGGGAUGAGUACCAGUAUUGAUUUCAGCAUCAUUUGACAAAGGCAAACAGCUGAGUAGAGCCUCAUGAAAGAUAGCAGCUUGGAGUUGGUAUAGCUGACAUUCAUUCUCCAAGUGAGUGCGCAGAGCUUGCUCAGCAUCUGUUGAACAUGUAAACUUGAGACCUUCAAAUUCACAGGAAUGAAGAACCAACGGGAUUUCUGAGGCCAUGGGAUAUUGGGGUUUCCUUGGUGUCCUAUCAAUAUCCAGCAAUACAUCUAUCACCUGUGCAUUUGAGUACUUAAAAUGAGUUCCUUUCAUGGCACAUGAAGAAUUCAUCAUGAAGACAUGAAGAAGUGAAUAUUAUGCAAUGUAGCCAUUGUUGAAAUUGUCUUAAUGAUGCAUCAUGUGGACUUGCAAGCCAAUUCUUGCUAUCUUUUUCUCUACAUCUCCUAUGUGACAAUUCAAACUUGGGGAAUUCCCUCAAAUUUAUGAACAAAAGCAAUAUACAAAUGCUACCAUCAGAUUGUUCAUUAGUUAGGAUAUUCUAGCUCAUCUAGAGGAUCACAAUGCUUACUAGUGUAUAUGAGCAAGCAAGGAGUAUUGCCUCCAAAUGGUCCCCACCUGAAAAUUAUGAUAAAAAUAGCUAUCAUUGUUGCCAGAAUUUUGGUGCAUGGUGGGUGGAAAGUUAAUUGCAAAACUAAAAGGAGGAUUUGGGAAAAUAGUAAGAUGAAGCUCAUUGAAGAUUGUCACUGCUCUCAUGCAUUCAUGCAAGCUUUUUGUGCUGAUGUCUAUAUGCAUUUCUCUCAGCCAUUGUACAUGUAUUCAUGAUGUCUCAGGUCUAAUAUUUUUGUGCGGACAUCUUAACCAAAGAAAAAGAAACUAGGGCCCACAUGCCAUAAUUAUGUAUGCAAGACUUCCUUUCUUAAAGAGUUAAAUUAGCAAGAUAAACCACAUGCUCAUGAGAACAACUGGUACGCACAUUGGCGGAUUCAAGACCUUGGCCAAUCAUAAAUAGCACAGCAACCAUACACCGGACUUGGUGCCACAGGAAAGCACUACCUUUAAUUUUUAUAGCACAAAGUUGAUUGUCUUCAAACCUCAUUUUACAUGGAGAAAUUUCAAAUGAGGUUAUAUGCCGCCUGUAGUUGUGCACGUUCACCGCAUCCAUCUUACAGAAGUUUCUGAAGUCAUGCUCCCCAAUAAAUUUUUUACCUGCACUCUCCAUAGCGAAGAGAUUGAGUUUGUCGAUCCAAAAGAAAUAUUUAUACUCCCUACUGAGACAGGUAAACCUUGCACUAAAAUCAUUUGGAACAGGACACCAGCCUACAAUUCGAAUAUCAUUUGGAAGGACUCGAUUCAGUACUCUCACAUAAUCAAUUUCUCCUUCUGGAAAAGGAAAUGGAAAUAUAAAGACAAAUGAAAAUUACAGUAAUAGUAUGAAUUAAAUCCAGGAAUUAGAAUGAAUUUGAUUCAUAUUUCAUUUGAGAAAAUGUUCCCAUCGAAUUUGAUCAAGACAAGUAGUAUGCAAUGUGAAAGCUGGCUGCUCAGUCCUACUUGUGCCCAUCUCCUCCACACAGUUAGUUAUGCAUACUUUUGUCACCCUAAAAUACUAAUAUUUAGAACUGGCCCAACUUUGCUUAGAUUUAACUCAAGUUUAAGUCAUGAUUAAGUUUAACAUCAAGCUCAAAACAUUAUCUAAGAUUGGCUAAUUAGUUUUCAAAUAAAGUAAUGAGCUCAAGUUUGUUUCUAGUUUCAUCAGCUAAGGAGCAACAACUAUUUUUGAUAUAUUUAUUGUAUAAUGAACCCUGUUUCUUAUGCUUGCUUGAGUGCUUAAGUAAACACAAUAUUAAAAAUACUACUUUUAAGUCAUGUCUUUAAUUAUUUAUUUACAGUCACAAGUGUGAUACUUUCAUUAUUGUUAUUUACUGGACACUUCCUCACAAAGUUUUGCUCAAACAGAAACAGUUCCUAUAUGUAGCAAAUAUUUUCCUUGUUAUGAUUGUUCAUGCCUUGCUUAGCCUUAGUUUUGGUAAUUGGUAGUGAAUUUGUCAUACCUUGUAAUAUAUAAGAGUUGACACUAAAGGCAAAUGAGAAGAUAAAUAUGUGUGCUUAUGAGAGAGAGAGAGAGAGAAGUUGUGGGAAUUACCCAUGUAUGACUGUGCAAUUGUCAGAAAGCUAUCUCACCCCAUAAAGCAAAUUGGAUGAUAGUGCCAAAAGAAAAAAAGAAAAAGUCAAUUCUCCUUUAGCUGUGUACUACUCCAUUACUAGAAAACUUCACAAGCCAUACGUGCAGCAAUUGUCUGAUGAAAAGAUGAUUUCAUUUAUCCAUCGUAUUUUCUUUGGUUCCUUUUAUAACAUGUUCAGUGAAACUGUUCAAAAAUUGGUAACACAAAACAGGAUUUUAAACCAUGAAACCAUAUUUGUUGCUGCAAAAACAAUGUUAAUACUGGAUACAAGUGAAUUAAAUUUAGUGGUCAAAGGAAGGACAGAAUCAGCAUUGAACCAUUUUAAAUCCAAAAAGUUCCACCUAACAUAAACAAAUAAAAGCUCAGAAAUCAAUCUAAAAGUUCCCAGAACAGGAUAAUGUGGCUGACCAUUAUGCUCUUCUGAAACAAUUUCCCCUGAAUUUUUGUUGUUUGCAUCAAUGUCCUUGAGUUUGGAUCGUAAAAACAAAGCAAUCACUUGUCCAACUGCAGAAACUCCUUUGUCUGUUCUACCACAUCGAGAAUACUGUAUCUCCUUCUUGUCACCAAUUAAAAGCCUUGUCCUUUCAAGAGCUUUGAAAAUCUCAGACUCAACAGUUGGAUCCAUCUGUCCUUCUGAAGAAAAACCAUAAAACCUUUGACCAAAAUACAUGAUUUUUAAAGCUACAAAUCUCCUUCGAUGGUGAUUCAUGGUACUUGUGUCAUAACCUGAAAUUUUGUCUCUUGCUUUCUUUUUAGCAGUCUCAUGCCCUCCAGGAUUUACUUCCCCACUCUCUCUUCCAUCAAGCUUCUCCUCUGUCUCAUUGCAGCGACAAUUUGAGAGUCGAGCGGAUAAUUUAGCAUUUUCAGCCUCCAAUUCCUUGACUCUGUUUUCGAGAGAAGCUAUUUGGGAUUUCAAAUUGAUCACAGCUUCUUCUUCUAAUACUACUUUUUGUGACAUGGUUGAUUGGUUUGCGUGGCGGUCGUCUUCGGUUGCAGCGCUCUUCACUCCGUUAGUUGGCUUUGCUUGCCAGGGGAAGAAGAGAAAUGGUUACAGACCAUAGCCUAGUUGUGUCUGAUUAUAUGCUUGACAAUGUAUGGAAU
This 3717-nucleotide unclassified non-coding RNA is filed under the name Hevea brasiliensis (rubber tree). The record is from RNAcentral. Lineage: Eukaryota; Viridiplantae; Streptophyta; Magnoliopsida; Malpighiales; Euphorbiaceae.